AGAACGAACGCUGGCGGCAUGCCUAAUACAUGCAAGUCGAACGAACACUUCGGUGUUAGUGGCGCACGGGUGCGUAACGCGUGGGAAUCUGCCCUUGGGUUCGGAAUAACAGUUGGAAACGACUGCUAAUACCGGAUGAUAUCGAAAGAUCAAAGAUUUAUCCGCCCAGGGAUGAGCCCCGCGUAGGAUUAGCUAGUUGGUGAGGUAAAGGCUCACCGAAGGCGACGAUCCUUAGCUGGUCUGAGAGGAUGAUCAGCCACACUGGGACUGAGACACGGCCCAGACUCCGUACGGGAGGCAGCAGU
This 305-nucleotide ribosomal RNA is filed under the name uncultured soil bacterium. RNAcentral describes it as "bacterial SSU rRNA". It matches the Rfam family "Bacterial small subunit ribosomal RNA", at positions 26 to 355 of the family's 1533-position model. The record is from RNAcentral.